AGAAGAUUAGGUUAACUCAAACCAGUAGCCUUCAAAGCUGCAAACAGGGAUUAAACCUCCUUAACUUC
RNAcentral lists this transfer RNA (68 nucleotides) under Ablepharus ladacensis. Its description in RNAcentral is "tRNA-Trp". It matches the Rfam family "tRNA". From Rfam's summary of the family: Transfer RNA (tRNA) molecules are approximately 80 nucleotides in length. Their secondary structure includes four short double-helical elements and three loops (D, anti-codon, and T loops). Lineage: Eukaryota; Metazoa; Chordata; Lepidosauria; Squamata; Scincidae. The record is from RNAcentral.